AUACGGAGGGUGCAAGCGUUAUUCGGAAUCACUGGGCGUAAAGGACGCGUAGGCGGGUUGGCAAGUCAGAUGUGAAAUCCUACAGCUUAACUGUAGAACUGCAUUUGAAACUGCUAACCUAGAGUAUGGGAGGGGGAGAUGGAAUUAGUGGUGUAGGGGUAAAAUCCGUAGAUAUCACUAGGAAUACCGAAAGCGAAGGCGAUCUCCUGGAACAUAACUGACGCUAAGGCGUGAAAGCGUGGGGAGCAAACAGGAUUAGAAACCCCAGUCUUCC
RNAcentral lists this ribosomal RNA (274 nucleotides) under uncultured bacterium. RNAcentral describes it as "partial 16S ribosomal RNA". It matches the Rfam family "Bacterial small subunit ribosomal RNA", at positions 523 to 796 of the family's 1533-position model. The record is from RNAcentral.